This 83-nucleotide non-coding RNA is filed under the name Bacillus sp. (in: firmicutes). Its description in RNAcentral is "Bacillus sp. Glycine sequence". It matches the Rfam family "Glycine riboswitch aptamer". Rfam says of the family: This family represents the bacterial glycine riboswitch. Glycine riboswitches usually consist of two metabolite-binding aptamers domains with similar structures in tandem. The aptamers cooperatively bind glycine to regulate the expression of downstream genes. Lineage: Bacteria; Bacillati; Bacillota; Bacilli; Caryophanales; Bacillaceae. RNAcentral also lists the same sequence under 1 other name. The record is from RNAcentral.
GGAGCAGCUUCUGGAGAGACUGUACAGCAAAUGUGCAGCGCCGAAGGAUUCAUAAUCUCAGGCAAAAGGACAGGAGAGUAGCA